GAUGGUUCUCGGGUGACACACCCUGGAAUUGGGCUCCCUCCUCUCUGGUUCCAGUUGCGUCACCCCAGAACCCCA
Non-coding RNA from Myotis brandtii (Brandt's bat), 75 nucleotides. The record is from Rfam. Lineage: Eukaryota; Metazoa; Chordata; Mammalia; Chiroptera; Vespertilionidae.